RNAcentral lists this ribosomal RNA (253 nucleotides) under uncultured bacterium. RNAcentral describes it as "partial 16S ribosomal RNA". It matches the Rfam family "Bacterial small subunit ribosomal RNA", at positions 524 to 776 of the family's 1533-position model. The record is from RNAcentral.
GACGUAGGGGGCGAGCGUUGUCCGGAAUUACUGGGCGUAAAGCGUGCGCAGGCGGUUUUGUAAGCCAGAUGUGAAAGCCCCGGGCUUAACCUGGGAAUGGCAUUUGGGACUGCAAGGCUUGAGUGCGGCAGAGGAGACUGGAAUUCCCGGUGUAGCAGUGAAAUGCGUAGAUAUCGGGAGGAAUACCGAUGGCGAAGGCAGGUCUCUGGGCUGACACUGACGCUCAUGCACGAAAGCGUGGGGAGCAAACAGG